GAGUGCGAAGGUACCCUCAGUACGGUUGGAAAUCGUACGCUGAGUGCAAAGGCACAAGGGUGCUUAACUGCGAGAGUGACAGCUCGAGCAGAUACGAAAGUAGGUCUUAGUGAUCCGGUGGUUCUGAAUGGAAGGGCCAUCGCUCAACGGAUAAAAGGUACUCCGGGGAUAACAGGCUGAUACCGCCCAAGAGUUCAUAUCGACGGCGGUGUUUGGCACCUCGAUGUCGGCUCAUCACAUCCUGGGGCUGAAGUCGGUCCCAAGGGUAUGGCUGUUCGCCAUUUAAAGUGGUACGCGAGCUGGGUUUAGAACGUCGUGAGACAGUUCGGUC
RNAcentral lists this ribosomal RNA (331 nucleotides) under Euplotes focardii. Its description in RNAcentral is "partial Bacterial large subunit ribosomal RNA". It matches the Rfam family "Bacterial large subunit ribosomal RNA", at positions 2306 to 2636 of the family's 2925-position model. Lineage: Eukaryota; Ciliophora; Spirotrichea; Euplotida; Euplotidae. The record is from RNAcentral.